CUGUCUUAAAAUUCACAAAAACACACAAGUAUAAGUCUCUCGAUGCUAAUGAAGUUUCACUGCAUUAAUAGUAAUUAACUUUUAGGUUGUCUUGUCCUGUUUCCAUGUUUUCAUAUAUCUUCAACUGUCAUUUCCGAGUUUUGUUCAGGUGAAGAAAACUAAUGGGCCUUUCUAUGAAAGAAUACCAUAUUUUUUGUGGAGUUUUUGUGUCUAGUUUCAUGUAGUUUCGAUUAUAGAUGCUCAAGAUUGUUCAUUAUGUCACAUUAUUUUUGCAGAUUCUAGUUGAGACUGGUCAUAUGGGGAGACAAGAUAAUGGGGCUGUUACGGUGAUGGAUGGGGAGACUGCAAGUUGUGGAAUAUGCUUCUACCUAGUAAUAUGUCAAUGAACUUAUCUAAAGCUUUCAUAAAAUCUCUUAGCAAUGCAACCUACAAGAACUGUUAGAAACGUAUUAGGCAAUAUGGCAGUAAUAAGCUGAAACAAAAAUAUUAUUGAGGACAGUUAUAAUGGCAAAAAUUAGGGGAAAGAGACAAGAGAUUAUUAACUCUUAUAAAUUUUGUGGUGUAUUGUCCGGAAACGACUACCGUCAAAUUUUUAGCAUUGCCAUAAUUACAACACCUUAUAAACUUUACUCACGCAUUUGGAACGGUCUUGAAGGCCCUGAAUCAAUCUGUACGUAGUUACUGAACUUUCUUCCUAAUAUUUUGCGUUUAUGUCUAAGGGAAGGGUGAGAGAUCACUGUCUUAAAUGAUGAGAACUAAUACAUUACAGGCUUCUUCUUGUCGAUCAUUUAUACAUCUGUUUGUUUGGUGGACAUUCCAAAAGAGCCUUCUGAUUUUUUUCCUCUUAAUGUAAAUUAUCAAGAACGAUGUUUGGCAGCACAGCGGGCAAGGUUUGUGACACAGUUUCCACGAUUUUGUUGAGAAGUUUAAUUUUGCAUCUUGUAAGUGAAGUUGCAUUUAAAUCUCUUUGCCCCUUUCAGUGGAGGUUUUUUUCGAAAUAGUGGGGGGGGGGGGGGGAAUCAAUUGGUAUCUCUACUGCAUUCAUGAUGUGUUUUUAUAAUUGUGUCAUGUUUAUGAUGAAGGAUAAUUUAGUGCUUUAUUCCUGAUAGCAGACACGUAUGCAACAAGGUAGAACAAACAGAACAUGCUAUUAUCAUUUGGCCAGGGAAUAACCUUAUUUUAUGACAUUAUUGCACCUUUUUGGAAGUUGUAAGCAUCACAAAAUGUGUGUCAACGAUGAUUUGCCUCCAUUUUCAACAUUUAGCAAAAACAUAUGGAAGGAAAGUGAAGUCCUUAUUUGGUGUUUCUUGAAAAGAAAUUACUGUUGUUUAUUUUGUUAUUUUUCUUUACUUGUAGGUUCUUAUUUGUAGAUUGAUUGAUAGGCCUUUACGUCUGACAAUGCCGAAGGGCUUGUACCAUGAAACUCAAGUUCUAUCUUGGGAAUUCACAUGAUUACCUCAUAAACCAACUUUUCUAGGCAUGACCUAAAUAAACUAUGUCCAUUUUUAAGACCUUUCUUUGCGUAAGUUGUUAGAUAUAAGUGUAUUGAGAUUAUUUGAUUGUGAAAGUAUGUUCCUGGUUUAAUUAUGUGACCUCAGUCCACGACAACUGCAAGAUCUCUGCCUUAGAUCCUUAUAAUUCUACAUCUGUGUAUUGGGUGCUUUCAGAUAUCCGCGGUUAUUUUUAAGAUGUGACAUGACAACAAAGUCUCUAACAAAUUAAUUUUAUUGCGCUUUUAUAUUAAAAGGAACUAUUGCAGAUGCUUUUUGAUAAUUCUGUAUGGGACCCUGCUGUAUUACUUGAUUUAAUGUAUUCGUCUAUGUCUAAGGUCUAUUAUGAUAAUUAUGGCCUAGAAAACUCCUUUUGUGGUUUUAGAUGAAAAAAGCCAUGAUUGCGAUACACUUUCAUUUUUUUGUCACUUGUGUGGAUUUUGUGUCCAAUAAUGCCAAUCACGAAAUUGGGUCUUUGCUUUAAUUAUGGUGUUAGUUUCCCUGUAUUCAAUCCAUUCAAGUGGUUACAGAGUCCCUUACGGCUCAAGUCUUCUCAAUUCCUUUGUUAAUGGAGAUACGUAUGCUUUAUGGUAAAUUUGUUCUUCACUUGAAAGUAAGAAAAGAUAUAUAUUUCAUUAACAAAAAGAUGCCGUCUAUUAGAAGUAACAAAAUUGACAAACAUAAUGGUGUGAAUAAGGUACUAUUUAACCACAAUAAAUCUGGUUGAGUCAUACUGGUUACUUUUUACUACUAGCAAAUAAAUCUGAGAUACUUUUGUGUUUUGUUGUAGGACAAUCUGAUGUUGGGCAGUUUAAUUUCUUUUUAUGGAUAAGUAAGUCUAUAAAUUUGUGUUUGAGUAUUCUGACUAUAUCAAUAAUGUUUGUCAUACCAUACCGAUCAGAUGAUUAACUUAAAAUUACAUACAACAGUCAUUUUUAUAAUGAAAAAAAAAAUUAACGUGGGUGGGUGCAACACUUGUUAAUGUUGGAAAUGUCUGUUACUCACAACAUUAUUGCUUUGUGUACAGGUUAAUCAAAAUAGGCCCGUAAUAUAGCUGUAACAAUCUUGAUGGUAACAUGUGCUUUGAUAAGAUGUAUGAAGUUAGUCAUAUUGCAAAUUAAUAUCUUGCCAAAAAGCUUGACAACAUUUUAGUUUGAGUUUCCCUUUAGUUAUUAGAGUAAUGUUUGAUGCUUUCAUUCUUCCUUAAUGGCUAUAGUGAAUGCCCCCUAAACCUAUAAGGUGAUGGAAUGGUAAUGUCAAUGGUCUUAGACAGUGAUAUCUGAUCUUGCUAGUGGGAUUGUUUACUAGGUCUUAAGCGGCUGAAGUUGAACUUAUGUGCAGUUUAAUCAUUGAUAGUAAAUCCUUGAUGUAAACGAGGGCACCUUGUUGCUCUCUCGAUGAUUGUUUCUUGGCAUGUUGAAGAACAUAUUUUUUACGUUCUACUUUUGACCUUUUUCUUCGAUUUGCUUUUUUGGGUUUUGAGCUAUGACGAAUUGAAUACCCCUGAUAGUUUAGCAGUCACAGCAGCUGGAAUAGCAGUGUAAGUUUUUUGAUCUUGCUUGCGUACCACUUGUACUUGGCACUUGCCGAUGGCUUAAUAUAUACAAGAAGGGAUUUUGAAUACAUGUUCAAUCCUGCUUCUUUGAGUACAACAGAGCUCUUUUGUAAGUGCCGAAUUCGAAGGCUAUUGCGCACAUAUUCAUUCCUUCUCUUGGUUAUUCUGUAUUGUUAUUGUAUACAUGUUCAAUCCUGCUCUUGGUUAUUCUGAUUUCAACUCCCUGACCAAGUGGAUCAUGCAUUGCAGGGUUACUGCAAUUUUCUCUUGGAAGAGAAGUUGCUGCAAGCUGUUGAAGCUGGGCAGGAAGCUGCGCAAGCAAUUUUCAAAGAGGUGCAUUCUUUGGUCAAGAAGUGUGGGAAGCCCAAAAUGCUUGACGGAAUUAAAUUACCCCCUCCUGAGCUAUAUAAGCAUGUUGAGGAUAUUGCUUGCUGGGAAUGAAUUGUUGAAGGUGCUGCAGAUCAAGGGAAAAGCCCCUAGGAGGAAGUCACUAGCAUCUUUAGAGGACAAGGUUCUGACUGUAGUUACAGAAAAGGGAUAUAAUAGUAAAGAUGCAACUUUUAUUGCUGCUGGAACGAUUCCAGACAUGGUAGUGGAUGAAGAUGAGGAGGAAGAAGUUGUUAUUGACAGAGAAAUUGAUGAAGGGGAUGUCCACAUAAAGCCAGUCUCACGAAAAUCCACUCCUGUUUCUCUCUGAGGUCGAUGUGAAGCUGGUGUUUAAAGAAGUUACAUCAAAGCUCUUCUGGAGACGUACGGUCGAGGGAGGAAAGCGGAGUGAUGGUCGAACCCCUGAUGGAAUAAGGCCAAUUAACUCAAGGUGUGGAUUGCUUCCUAGGGCACAUGGAAGUGCUCUUUUUACACAUGGCGAAACACAGGUAUAACAUUGCCGACUAUGAGGAAUGCACUUCUACAAGUAAGGGAUGGUCGAAAGCGGAUUCUUGUUUCUUUUGUGGUAAGAACAAAAUUGAAAUCAGUUGAAAAGCUAGAUGCUGGAAGCAAGCCAUAUCAAUGAAGACCUAGCAAAAGGCCAUAUAGGCCAUCGAGCCGACAGUCGUUGCCCAAUAUUGCUAGCCUCAUGCAACAGGCUGAUUUUCAGAGAACAAUUGUUCUUCGAGAAUCUAUAAUGGCUAGGGACAGUACUAACUCCUAAUUGUGCUGGAUGUCAAGCACCAAGGACUACGUAUGAGCAAACACUUUAGAGUUUAUUGAUUGGUAAGCACUCCCAGCAAGAGACAAAUUACGUGCUUGUCAGCUAGGAUAGUGAUGUUUCAUUUUCUUUUUUUUAUGAAACCUCUUACUAGGUAAUCUUGGUGGCAUCAUCCAUUCUACGUACUUUAUGCAAAUUCAUCUCCGUUUUGUCUACUUUA
Syzygium oleosum is the source of this 4412-nucleotide RNA transcript. It is a transcript of the gene named polyribonucleotide nucleotidyltransferase 1, chloroplastic-like, with no coding region annotated. NCBI's taxonomy places the organism in Eukaryota, Viridiplantae, Streptophyta, Magnoliopsida, Myrtales, Myrtaceae. The transcript is spliced from 8 exons. The record is from RefSeq and is a predicted model, not a curated record.